AGAACGAACGCUGGCGGCAGGCUUAACACAUGCAAGUCGAACGGGCGUAGCAAUACGUCAGUGGCAGACGGGUGAGUAACACGUGGGAACCUUCCUAGGGGUACGGAACAACUCAGGGAAACUUGAGCUAAUACCGCAUACGUCCGUGAGGAGAAAGAUUCAUCGCCCCUAGACGGGCCCGCGUCGGAUUAGGUAGUUGGUGGGGUAACGGCCUACCAAGCCUACGAUCCGUAGCUGAUCUGAGAGGAUGAUCAGCCACACUGGGACUGAGACACGGCCCAGACUCCUACGGGAGGCAGCAGUGGGGAAUCUUGGACAAUGGGCGCAAGCCUGAUCCAGCCAUGCCGCGUGAGUGAAGAAGGCCUUAGGGUGUAAAGCUCUUUUACCAGGGACGAUAAUGACGGUACCUGGAGAAUAAGCCCCGGCAAACUUCGUGCCAGCAAGCCGC
Molecule: ribosomal RNA, 448 nt
Filed under: uncultured soil bacterium
Lineage: Bacteria
Description: bacterial SSU rRNA
Rfam family: Bacterial small subunit ribosomal RNA
Source: RNAcentral